GCUCCGGUGUCCUAGUGGUUAGAGCGUCCGUUUCGGAUGCGGGAUGUCGCGAGUUCGAUACCCGGUCGAAACA
This is a non-coding RNA of Potamilus streckersoni, 73 nucleotides long. The record is from the annotation of a GenBank genome assembly. NCBI's taxonomy places the organism in Eukaryota, Metazoa, Mollusca, Bivalvia, Unionida, Unionidae.